Molecule: ribosomal RNA, 419 nt
Filed under: uncultured Prevotella sp.
Lineage: Bacteria; Pseudomonadati; Bacteroidota; Bacteroidia; Bacteroidales; Prevotellaceae
Description: bacterial SSU rRNA
Rfam family: Bacterial small subunit ribosomal RNA
Source: RNAcentral
GGAAUAUUGGUCAAUGGGCGAGAGCCUGAACCAGCCAAGUAGCGUGCAGGAUGACGGCCCUACGGGUUGUAAACUGCUUUUUCCGGGGAAUAACCGGCGUCACGUGUGGCGCCCUGCAUGUACCCGGUGAAUAAGGACCGGCUAAUUCCGUGCCAGCAGCCGCGGUAAUACGGAAGGUCCGGGCGUUAUCCGGAUUUAUUGGGUUUAAAGGGAGCGCAGGCUGAUUGUUAAGCGUGACGUGAAAUGUAGCCGCUCAACGGCUGCACUGCGUCGCGAACUGGCAGUCUUGAGUGAGUACGACGUCAGCGGAAUUCGUGGUGUAGCGGUGAAAUGCUUAGAUAUCACGAAGAACCCCGAUUGCGAAGGCAGCUGACGAGUCCUUUACUGACGCUAAAGCUCGAAGGUGCGGGUAUCGAACA